RNAcentral lists this transfer RNA (74 nucleotides) under Homalodisca vitripennis (glassy-winged sharpshooter). RNAcentral describes it as "tRNA-Phe". It matches the Rfam family "tRNA". Rfam says of the family: Transfer RNA (tRNA) molecules are approximately 80 nucleotides in length. Their secondary structure includes four short double-helical elements and three loops (D, anti-codon, and T loops). Further hydrogen bonds mediate the characteristic L-shaped molecular structure. tRNAs have two regions of fundamental functional importance: the anti-codon, which is responsible for specific mRNA codon recognition, and the 3' end, to which the tRNAs corresponding amino acid is attached (by aminoacyl-tRNA synthetases). tRNAs cope with the degeneracy of the genetic code in two manners: having more than one tRNA (with a specific anti-codon) for a particular amino acid; and 'wobble' base-pairing, i.e. permitting non-standard base-pairing at the 3rd anti-codon position. The record is from RNAcentral. RNAcentral also lists the same sequence under 3 other names. Lineage: Eukaryota; Metazoa; Arthropoda; Insecta; Hemiptera; Cicadellidae.
GGUAUCUUAGCUCAGUCUGGUAGAGCAACGGACUGAAAAUCCGUGAGUCCCCGGUUCAAUUCCGGGAGAUACCA